Molecule: long non-coding RNA, 9506 nt
Organism: Ictalurus punctatus (channel catfish)
Lineage: Eukaryota; Metazoa; Chordata; Actinopteri; Siluriformes; Ictaluridae
Source: Ensembl
AUAAUAUAUAAGAAAACUUAUAGGCAAGGGAAAUGAGGAUCUGACUAACAGUUUACUACAAACCCCACAGUAACACCCAGCCUCCCUGUCUGUUACCAGCGUGGACGCUGAUGUAUUGGAGGCAGUUGUUGAAGGCAUAUAAGGACAGAGGGUGAGGGGAGGGUGGAUUGAGUGAGAGGAGAGCUGAUCAAGGUCCCACCAUUACAGGGUCACUGCUGGACAAGUCACUUCUGUCAGACAGGCGCAGCACACAGGACACACCAUACUCUAUUCCUAUAAGGAUAUUGGUCAUGAGUGAACACGUGGAACUGUAACCAUUUAAGAAGGUUUGUACAUGAGAAACAAGUAUAACCUCCAAACAAAGUUUUUUUCAAUGAACUUAUGGAAUGUAAUGGCAUUGCUCAAAGUUUCGGCCUCAGGGCUUGUGGUUUGCUAAAGUGUCGUUUUGAGUGUGGUUUGCCUUAAUCAGUUUAAAAACUUAUUUCCUUCCGGCUAUCUCGCCCUGCUUAUGACUUUUUUUUCUUUUUUAUUUUUAUUACUUACAAAACUUACAAAGAAUGGGUUUCUCUGAGCAGUCAUAUUUGUCGUUUAGUUGAUGGACUGGUUUAAGAUUUGAAUUUGAACCCCAGUGAAUUUUAGUGAUGUAAGUUUUUCAGUGAUUUAAGGGAAGUGUUCGUGAGCACAGAAAUAGAAACCACUUCACGGUCAUCUCUCUGGGUCCUGGUGUGUCGACUGCUACAGCUCUGCCCUUAAUAUAAAGAAAUCUUAAUCAAUCUUAAAUAAUAUACUUUUAAUAAAUCUUAGAAAAGCAUAAGAGACUAUGGAAAGUGUAAUCUCUGAGUAGUUUGGACCAGCCGCCUUACUCAGUGUAGUGUAUUGUCUCUGCAGCUGUUGGCCUGCAAAUCAAUGGAUAAUAGCAAAAGGAGAUGUUUUGAUUGACAUCCCAGGUGGAAUAGGGUAUAAGCUAUGUUAGAUUCUAAACAACACGUGGUGUAUAGUGGAACUUUGUGUACAGUUUCUCUUGAGGCCCACAUUCUCUGGAGGCAGUGUCAUUUACUUUACUAUAGACUUGUGUGUAUUUACUCUAAGAUUGAAGAGGAAGUGUGCGUUUGUUAGAUUUUAAGUCCGGUGAUGUUGAUUAUAACAACUUAUUCCCGCGCGCACACACACGCAAACACCACAGGAGAGAAUACGUUAACAGCUAUGUAUUAACUGUGACUAAGAAAUUGGAUCUGUUUGGUAAAAGUCUUAUCAAUUACUUCUAAAUAAUGAGCGAUGUUACUGCUAGCCAGUGGUUUAUCAUUUAUCUAUAAAGUAUGAGAAUUUAGCAUUCAAUACUAAUUCAGCCUACCUGCUAAUACGUUCCUUCUGAAGGGCUUUAGUAGAGUAACAAUAAAGUAAAUUGUUGCACGUUUUAUUUGGCUUACUACAUAAGUAUUGGAAUAUUACUGGCUCACUAGCUUUGAAUAUUUCGAUAUUUAUUUUAUUUUCAGAGUUACCCUUUAGAUAUUAAACUCUAUAAUUCCAAGAAGAAAAUAAGCAAGAUUAAGCUGAAACUUCUCAAUUCUCAUUGGUCAGUUUGUUAAGUUUAUAAUUUCAUAUUUGUCAUUUGUUGAGUUUGUUAUUGAAACAUGGACAUAAUCAUUAGAGCAAUACAUUACUCUACAAAAUAGUCAGGAGGAGUCAAUAGCUCCUAACUGUGUUUUUAAUGCACUGCUUUCUUGAAAAUAAUUCUCUUUGGCUGUUUGAUUAUGAAUUGAGACAUUACCAGCCAUACAAUGUAAGAUGUCAUACAUCUACAGCUACGUGAUUCUUGGGUCUAUUUUUUGCCUGUCAGACUAGUACACACAGCGUGUGACGUGCGUAUAACCAGCUUUUCAUACGUAUUAACAUUACUCAUGCUGAUGCUAUUGGUGUGUCGCUGCAUAGUGGAGGUAUUCCCCUUUUCAGGACAUUUUUGCGCCACACCCCAUCGUCAUAGGGCUGGGGUAAUGUGUAAGAAAUAGUUCAGUUGUUUGUUUUGUGUUAUUAUCUGCUGUUGCAUUGGUGUUUGGUGGUUGCGGGUCCUUGCAGCGUGUGAUUGUUGUAAGCAGAUAGAGCUCUUUCAUUAUUAGUUCUAGCAUUGCAUUGUCAACUGACAGGUCAGACCACAUUCAUCACACUGCUGCUGAGAAACAGGUCAGUGUUACCUGCAGACUCUUCACACUCCCACAUCAGUACUGUGUGUCUCGCUGUAUUCUCACUAAUCACCAGGGUUGGGAGCGUUACUUUAAAAAUGUAAUCAGUAUCACAAUAUGAAAGUAAUGUAAUCUGAUUAUUUUCAGAAUACUUCAAGGUCACAUGUAAAUAAAGUCAAGAGAAAAGAAAUAUGAUCUAAAAUACUUUUAUGUAGAGCUUAUUUUAGAGCUUAAAAACAUGUUCAAUGUUUGGAUUUGUUUUAAUAAAUAAAUAAAUAAAUACAUAAGCAAAUAAAUAAAAGAUCACACUAUUUACUACUGAAAAGACACUAUUUACAUCACAUAAAUAUAUUUAAAUAAAAUUGGCUUUACUCUGCCCAUGUUUGACAUUUUUCCCCUACAUUCUUUGGAUGUCCAUGGAAUAAAAUAAAAUAUUAGAUGCCACCCAUGUGUAUUCUGCCAUCAUUUACACAUUUGAAUGACUGUGUAAUACAAAGCAAUGUGAUAACAUGAAAGUAAAAAUGACCUUAUAUGGUCAUGGGCACUGUUUCUAUGGGAAAUUUAUUUAAUCCUAAUAGUAUUCCCGUUUUUUACUAAACAUGCCUGUAUUCUGAUUACUUUGUUUUUUUAACGUAACUGUAAAGGAUUACAGUUACCAGUUUUUUGUAUCCUGAUUACGUUACGUUACAUGUAUCCCGUUACUCCCCGAGCCCGCUAAUCAAUAUUUGUUUUCUACAAGCAGUUACUGGUAUUAAUAGACAUUAAUAAUAAAUACUGGACAGAGUAGGUGUUGAAAUAUGUGGAGGCUUAGGGAAAGCCUUCUCAUGGGGAAACUAUAUUAAAAACUAUUAUUUUCUGGAUUGUAUUAGUGUUUUUUUUUCUUCUUUUCUUUCACGUACUGUAUGUCACGAGUAAAGCUAUAGCAUGUUAAAAACUGGUUACUUCCCAGUUGUUGGUAAGUUAAUAAAACAUUUCUACAUUUUGGUGAAAUAUAUUUAUUUUCUUAUUGUAGAUGUGUCAAAGUAUAUUGCAGGCAGAAACAGUUUUGGUCAAAACCAGAUUUUUUCGUAAGGUUGCCAUAGGGCUGAGUGAUACUACAAUAUAAUAUUGAUAUUAUGAUAAAUUAUGUCACAGUAUGCUUUGCUAAGAUGUCAUGGAUAUCACUAUCUUUAUUUAUUUAUUAUAUUUUUUACAUUUUUAAAAGUAGUUACAGCUGAUUUGAUACUAAUAUUUCAUACUUACUCUUGAAAAAUUGUGAAAUGUAAAACAUUUUACAGAUCUAAACGCUUCUUAAAAAUUAAUAUAUUAAAUACAAGUGACAUUUGUAAAUAUAAAGAAUGACACAUUUUUGUAGAUAUUAAAGUAUUAAUUACAUUUUUUAAUUUCAAAAACAUUACUGUAUUUCGGGGAAAUUGUUAGCAAACCCAUGUAUCAUAGUACAUAUAGUGUAUAAUAGAAAUAAAUGUUUUUGAGAAUUGUUAUUUUUUUGCCACACAGGUAUUGAAUUGUGUGACGUUGAGGGUUUAAGCUAUUACAUUAUGCUAUUGAUUUUGCCUCAACUUUAUCCACCACUUUUUCCAUCUGUAUGUUGUGUAAUGUCUGCAAACAAAAACAAAAAUCCCAGAUGAUUUAAAGUAUAUAAACCUAGUUACUGGUGCCUGAAAGUUACAGUUUGCUGGUUUACUCUGUUGAAAGGUUAGACAGUAGCAGCUGAGAAUCAGAGCCCAUCCCCCUUCCUGUUCUGCCUCUCUCUGUCCUGCCAGGAGAAAUGCUGCCCUUGCAUUGUAGCCCCGCCUCCCUUUACAGAUCAGGUUCCUCAUAUGAUUUGUUGCUUAGCUCUCAUGUUGUGUGUCUGCAAAAAAAAUACAAUCACGUUCCUCACUGUUACACACCACUACACUAUAGAAUAAUCAUAAAGUGAACAGAACGUACACUGAAAAGAAGAAAUGGCAGUACACUGUGGUCAGCAGCUGAGUGACCAUGUUGGUGUAAGCAAGUGCCUGCCAGUCAGGGAACAUGAGGCAACAGGCUGAAAAUAUCCUGCAGUUGGUGCUGGCAAUACAACCCAAGGUUGGAGUAAAUCACUGGAGAGAGUCCCAUAGGGCAUCAUAAGUGCCAUCACUGCCACACUUAGGCUAGAACGAAGGUUCUGUAGAGCAAUAAUCUCACAUAAACAGUGCAUUCUCUGUUCUGUAGUGUUCUUUUAAUAGCAACUUAAUUCCGCUAGUUCAUGCUCAAAUGAAACUCAAAAAUAUUCAAUGUGCUAUACAGGUCAUAGUGGCCUGUUCAGGCUUAACAUCCAUUUCAGGUGAUCCAGUAACAACUGGACAGACAAGAAGGAUUUCCGUUCACAUCAUGUAUAUUCAUGUGCCUCGAAUGUCUCUUCAGUGACCAUGUGUGGUCAUAUUUUGUUAGUAGUCUGUUUGCCAGAUCUGCCAAAAGCAACCUGAGAUCACUUCAAAGCCAGACCCAAAACAAGCCAAUACCAGACAAAAAGUCAUACAAAGUUGGAUGGCAUUUCCUAAUUAAAACAUCAAGAUAAAGUUAUACUCUAGACUGUCAUCUAACAGUGAGGCAUUCUGUGCAACUUUUGCUCAGUUAAUCAUGUUUGAUUUAGUUUUCAGCAAUUGUAUAUGUAAAAAUUGAGAGAACUAUAAACCAAAACAAAAUCACUGUAAUAUUUAAAAGUAACCAUCAUACCAUAUUCUUUCAUGAAGCAGUGUUUCCUAAUAUAAUUAUUUGACCAAGGUGCUAAAAUUGUGUGGUAUUAUUAUAGAUAACAGUAGCAGUGAGAAUGAGUAUACUGACACAAAUAUUGUAUACAGAGCUGUGAAAAAGUAUUUCUUCUGUUUUUGUGUAUAUCUCGUACUAAAUUGUUUCAGAAAUUAAAACAAAAUCUAAGAUAACACAAAGGUAACCUGAGUAAACACAAAAUACAGUUUUAAAUGAUAAUGUUAUUUAUUGAAGCAUAAAAAGUUAUCCAGUACUAAAUGGGCCUGUGUGAAAAUGUAUUUGUCCCCAUAGUUACUAAUUCCCCAUAUGAAACUGCAUUCAUAAUGGGGUUCAGCUGGACUAGACACAAACAGGCCUGAUUACUGCAAACCCUGUUCAAUCAAAUGAAACACUUAAAUAGAACUUUUUCAACAGUAUGAAGUUGGUUAAAAUGUCUUACCCAGUAACACACUAUGCCAAAGUUAAAAGCAAUUCCAGAAAUGAUGAGGAAGGUGAUUUGAAAUACAUCAGUCUGGGAAGGGCUACAAAGCCUUUUCAAGGCUCUGGGACUCCAGAGGACCACAGUGAGAGCCAUUAUCUCCAAAUGAAAAAUCUCACAGUAGUGAACCUUCGCAGAACCUUCCAAAAUUCCUCCAAGAGCACAGCAACUACUCAUCCAUCAAGUCACAAAAGAGCCAAGGACAACAUCAAAGGAAAUACAGGCCUCUACUGCAUCAAUAAAGGUCACUGUUCAUAACUCCACUAUCAGAAAGACACUGGGCAAAAAUGACAUCCAUUCAAGAGUGGUGAGAGAUAAACAACUGCUAACCCAGAACAUUAAGGCCCCUCUGAAUUUUGGAAAACUCACCUUGAUGAUCCUCAUACCUUUUGGGAGAAUGUUCUGUGGACUGAUGAGUCGAGAGUGGAACUGUUUGGAAGACGGGUCCCAUUACAUCUGGCAUAAACCAAACACAGAAUUCCACAAAAAGAAUAUCAUAUAUACAGUCAAGCAUGGUGGUGGAAGUGUGAUAGUGUGAGGAUACUUUGCUGCUUCAGGGCCUGGGCACCUUGCAAUAAUUGAGGGAAACAUGAAUUCUGCUCUCUACCAGAAAAUCUUAAAGGAGAAUAUCCAGUCUUCAGUCCGUAAAUUGAAACUCAAGCGCAACUGGAUUAUGCAGCAAGAUAAUGAUCCAAAGCAUAGGAGUAAGUCCUAGUCCUAGAAGUAAGUGAAAGACUAAUCUCCAAUUAUUGGAAGCGUUUGGUUGCAGUUAUUGCACAAACAUAUUUUAAGUGGGCAAUUAAUUUAUUUUGUUACAAUUUAUUUUGUAACACUGGUGAUAACUUUUGGAUAACUUUUUUCCUUCAAUAAAAAAAAUAAAGAAAGGACAACGGUAUUGUGUGUUUACCCCACUUGUCUUUGUUUAUGUUGUAUUUUGUAUUUUGUUCGAGAUCUAAAACUUUUUAGUAUGAAAGAUACACAAAAACAGGAUAAAUCAGGCAAAUAUUUUUUCACAACACUAUUUUUAUAUAAUAAAGAGCGGUGCUUAUUUUGAGAGUGGUAAGAAGAAACACCCAUAUUAGAGCAGACUUUACAUCUUCAGUAUGCAUGUUUUAAUGCAGAGAUCGAAUUCAUUUAAUGCAUGCAAAAUGCCCAUGCUGUGGACAAUUUUUUAUUAUUUUUUUUAAAGUAGCCCGAUUCCUCGAACCUGGCAAGACAGGUGACUAGGCAGUUUAGAUGUGACCACUUGCAUGUAGUCAUUUAGAUCUGCAUCUAGCACUGUCCACCUGUGAUACGAUCACCUGAGACAGAUGUUAAUACUAUGCAUGAAAUGAGUCAGUGUUGUAUUUAUAUGCAGUUAUAUUUCUUGGACUUCUAAAAACCGGAACGGUUAUCUGCAGCCUAUGUAUUUCGUUGAUGUGUUUGUCCAUUUAAAGGUGAUUAUGGACAGAAUAUGGGCCUGUAGCUGUGAAGUUUGUCACAUCAUGAGUACAGAAUAGUCUUUUCAGACAGGCUUCUCUGUCAUAGCUCAGUUUUACAGAAUGUUUUGUUCUGCUUUUUGUUAAUUACUGUAACAAUCUAAAAUACAAAUCUCAUUUUCACCCAGCUGUAUACAGAGUCACAAUGCAAGCUUGCAUCUUCCCAGUACACUCUCAUUGAAGUCUGUGCUUGCUCUUCAUGCUCCACUGCUUUUGCGUCAGUUUUGACUCUUUUACCAGUUCCAGGACUGGCACCAUAUGGCUGUCGAUGACUGUCAUUGAGCAAGCUGUGGUUUGGGUGUUGUUUGUGAAGCAGCUCUUUUGCAAUGAGCUGAAUUAAACAUCUGACAACUGUGCUGUUCAGUACACGGGGAUCCUGUGCUAAGCUGCAAAGGUGAUGGAUUUCUGUGCGCUGCUCUGGCCCGAAUCCAGUCCCAGUCCAGGCGCUGGCUCUUAUCUCUAAGCCCCAGGCUACUCUGCCUUCAGUUCCAGGCAGGGAUGACAAAACUGGACUCUCUCUCUCACACCCUGCAGAGGAGAUUACAUGUUCUCGCACUCACAGUUGCACAGAAUGGCGUAUGCCCACACAUGGAUGUGCGCCUUCUGUGCUUAUCCAAGUGGAACUUUGGUGCUUCAGAGCACGUCAGCAUAAGAUGGAUUGCAGCAGCACUGUGUUUGAUAAGGUUUCUCUCAGGCAGGAGUACGUGAAAGAUGUAGAGCUGUAAUUAUUUCAGUGAUUUUCUAAUUACUUCUUCCGUAGAUUGUUUCCAUUACAUAAAUAUGAUCAGUAUGCACUAUGCUGCCAUUCAACACUGUAUUGACUUAUUUUAGCGAUUAUUAAAAAUGUCUUAUCACUUAUCACUCGGAAAACGCACUAAUAUUACGCAAUGAAUACCACUAUCUUUUGCACCAGAUUUGGAAGAACAUUAAAAUUGCGGCUGAACAAUGUUAUUUUUAUUGUUACCGCGAUGAGUAUUGAAGCUUCCUUUGCAUAGAUGACAUCAUAUGUGUAGGACGAGAAGCAGAACUCAGUGGUGAAGGAGUAUCUGCCAUCAAAAUGAGUAGGCAUGUGGGGAAGUACGGAAGAUUUGUCUCUAAAACCAGUAGCGCUUUAAUUGUCUUUUAGCUAUAUCUUGCAAUAAUCUCUCUCAAACGUAUACUGAGUACCAAAGACAGCUUGUAAUCAAUCUCUGAAGACCAGCACAAGCAGCAUGCCUUUUUCGUUCAGGCAGUGCUUGUGUUUUAGUCAGUGCCACUAGCGUUAUCCGGUCAGCUUGCUACUAUCAGCUUUGUGCUGGGUUUAUUGUUUAUUAAAAUACAAACAUUAUUUUUUUAAAUAAAUUGGAAAAUUUGAUCUUGCAGGGGUUCAUCUUUGAUUUCUUACAUCACAUAUGAUUAUUGCAUCAUCCAGCAAGGUACACAUUACAUUUUUUUAAUGUUUUUCAUGAUCUGUACAACUGCUCUUGGUCCUCAUGAACUAGCACUAGUUCCUUAUGCCUUUUGAGUAACUGUGGAGUUGUUUGUAUUGUUCUUGUGCACAUACAGGUGCAUCUCAAAAAUUUUAAAUAUUCGUGGAAAAGCUCUUUUAUUUAUUUAUUUAUUUAUUUAUUUAUUUUACAUAAUUUCAUUCAAAAAGUGGAACUUUCAUAUAUUCUAGAUUUGUUACACAUAAAGUGAAAUAUUUCAAGCCUUUUUUUUGUUUUAAUUUUGAAGAUUACAGUUUACAGCUCAUGGAAAUCAAAAAUUCAGUCUCUCAACAAAAUGUUAGAAUAAAGAAUUUAUAAUACAGAAAUGUCGACCUUCUGAAAAAUAUGUUAAUUUAUGCACUCAAUUACUUGCUCCUUUUGCAUGAAUUACUGCCUCAGUGUCUUGUGGCAUGGAGGCAAUCAGCCUGUGGCACUGCUGAGGUGUUCUGGAAGCCCAGGUUGCUUUGAUAGCGGCUUUCAGCUCAUGUGUAUUGUUGGGUCUGUUGUCUCUCAUAGAUUCUCAAUGGGGUUCAGAUCAGGCGAGUUGGUUGGCCAAUCAAGUACAGUAAUACCAUGGUCAGCAAACCAGUUAUUAGUAGUUUUGACACUGUGGGGCAGUCCAAGUCCUGCUGAAAAAGGAAAUUAGCAUCUCCAUAAAUCUCGUCAGCGGAUGGAAGCAUGAAGUGCUCUAAAAUCUUCUGGUAAAUGCUGCAUUGACUCUCGACUUGAGAAAACACAGAGGACCAACACCAGCAGAUGAUAUCGCCCCCCAAAUCAUCACUGACUGUGGAAACUUCACACUGGACCUCUCCACUCUUCCUCAAGACUCCGGGACCUUGAUUUCCAAAUGAAAUACAAAAUUUACUUUCGUGUGAAAAGCGGACUUUUGACCAGACCACUGAGCAGUAGUGUUUUUAGUAAAAAUGUGUAGUUAAUUAGCUGAUUAGAGCUCAUCUCAGGUUGACGUUGCUGUAUUAUUAAUUCUUUAUUAUAAUAUUUUUGCGAAACUGGAUUUUUCUGGUAUCUCAUUUUCAUGAGCUGCAAGCCAUAAUCAUCCAGAUUAAAACAAAAAAAAGGCUUGAACUAUUUCUCUUUAUGUGUAAUGAAUCUAGAAUAUAUGAAAGUUCCACUUUUUGAAUUCAAUUACGGGAAAAAACGUUCCCAUUUAUAUAUA